Molecule: ribosomal RNA, 253 nt
Filed under: uncultured bacterium
Lineage: Bacteria
Description: partial 16S ribosomal RNA
Rfam family: Bacterial small subunit ribosomal RNA
Source: RNAcentral
UACAGAGGUCUCGAGCGUUGUUCGGAUUCAUUGGGCGUAAAGGGUGCGUAGGCGGCGCGGAAAGUUGGGUGUGAAAUCCCUCGGCUCAACCGAGGAACUGCGCCCAAAACUACCGUGCUCGAGGAAGAUAGAGGUGAGCGGAACUUACGGUGGAGCGGUGAAAUGCGUUGAUAUCGUAAGGAACACCCGUGGCGAAAGCGGCUCACUGGGUCUUCUCUGACGCUGAUGCACGAAAGCUAGGGGAGCAAACGGG